GAGUCGGGAUGGCCGAGCGGUCUAAGGCUCUGCGUUCAGGUCGCAGUCUCCCUGGAGGCGUUGGUUCGAAUCCCACU
Molecule: transfer RNA, 77 nt
Filed under: Dallia pectoralis (Alaska blackfish)
Lineage: Eukaryota; Metazoa; Chordata; Actinopteri; Esociformes; Umbridae
Description: tRNA-Leu
Rfam family: tRNA
About the family: Transfer RNA (tRNA) molecules are approximately 80 nucleotides in length.
Source: RNAcentral